GAUGAACGCUGGCGGCGUGCCUAAUACAUGCAAGUCGAGCGAACAGACGAGGAGCUUGCUCCUCUGACGUUAGCGGCGGACGGGUGAGUAACACGUGGAUAACCUACCUAUAAGACUGGGAUAACUUCGGGAAACCGGAGCUAAUACCGGAUAAUAUAUUGAACCGCAUGGUUCAAUAGUGAAAGACGGUUUUGCUGUCACUUAUAGAUGGAUCCGCGCCGCAUUAGCUAGUUGGUAAGGUAACGGCUUACCAAGGCAACGAUGCGUAGCCGACCUGUGAGAGUGGUAGCCCGCACUGGAAGGGGAACGGCGUCCAUGCGCCUGCGGGAGGGAGCAGAAGGGAACCGUCCGCAGUGGGGGAGAGCCUGGCGGAGCGGCGCCAAGUGAGUGGUGGAGACGCUGGGAUCGGAAAACUCUGUUAUUAGGGAAGAACAAAUGUGGAAGGAAAUAUGCACGUAUUGACGGUACCGAAUCAGAAAGCAACGGCUAACUACGUG
RNAcentral lists this ribosomal RNA (497 nucleotides) under uncultured bacterium. RNAcentral's name for it is "partial 16S ribosomal RNA". It matches the Rfam family "Bacterial small subunit ribosomal RNA", at positions 28 to 507 of the family's 1533-position model. The record is from RNAcentral.